Molecule: small RNA, 98 nt
Filed under: Ruminiclostridium cellobioparum subsp. termitidis
Lineage: Bacteria; Bacillati; Bacillota; Clostridia; Eubacteriales; Oscillospiraceae
Also listed under: 1 other name
Description: Clostridium termitidis Guanidine-I sequence
Rfam family: Guanidine-I riboswitch aptamer
About the family: This family represents a conserved RNA structure found upstream of the ykkC and yxkD genes in Bacillus subtilis and related genes in other bacteria.
Source: RNAcentral
AUAAAAGUUUUCUAGGGUUCCGCAGUCUUACUGGUCCGAGACCAAGAGAAAACUCAUAGCUGACAGCUAUGCCACGGAAGGAUAAAAACCUGGGAGGU